AGUGGGAUUUCUGGGUAAAAUGGUGGUUGCAUUACAAGUUUUUGAGGAAUCUUCAUACUGUUUUCCAGAGUAGUUGCACCAAUUUGCAGUUCCACCAACAAU
RNAcentral lists this microRNA precursor (102 nucleotides) under Marmota monax (woodchuck). Lineage: Eukaryota; Metazoa; Chordata; Mammalia; Rodentia; Sciuridae. The record is from RNAcentral.